Molecule: long non-coding RNA, 448 nt
Filed under: Trifolium pratense (red clover)
Lineage: Eukaryota; Viridiplantae; Streptophyta; Magnoliopsida; Fabales; Fabaceae
Description: long non-coding RNA (TPRA_LNC004760)
Source: RNAcentral
ACAUUUUUACAUGUAUAAUCUAGAUAAAAUAUGCAUGUGCAAAUGUUGUAUAUUAUUCUAUUCAAGAAAACAAAAAUUAUUGCCUAUUUGUAUUAUUUGUAUGUGCAAAUGUUGAAUAUUAUACUAUUCAAUUUAAAAGCAGUAAAUUAUGCACCUCCUUUAGUUCCAAUUUGAAGCCCCUCCUUUAGUUCCAAUUUGAAGCCUAAUAACUAGAGGAAGGUAUAGUUGCGCUUGAUGCUUCGUCAGUUCCAAUUCCCAUUCCACCAUGUUUUUCCAUGAAGUCAAUCAUCUCAAUAAUAGCUUCCUCAGUUCCCAGGCGGUUAGGUCCAGAAAAAAUCUAUAAGAAAAUAUACCAUUACACAUACAAGAAAAUAUAUUGAUUCAAGUAAAUCCAUAUUUCACAACGUAAAUUGUUUCUACUUACUUCUUUUACGACGGAAAUAUUCCU